This is a non-coding RNA of Osmia lignaria (orchard mason bee), 1275 nucleotides long. The record is from RefSeq and is a predicted model, not a curated record. NCBI's taxonomy places the organism in Eukaryota, Metazoa, Arthropoda, Insecta, Hymenoptera, Megachilidae.
ACUGCGGAACGAUGUAUACCUGGAUCGCGUUUCAGCGCGACUUUAGGCGUGCCCCAACCACCCGACGCUACAUUAAAUGUGAAUGAAGGAUUCCAGGUACGCGUGAGAUCGAGACGACUACCGCGGGAUAAAGAGGAAAGAAGAAAAAAAUAGAAAAACACCUGAGAGACAAACAGUGCAUAAAAGAUCGUCAAGUGUUUCUGGAUGUACGAGACAACUCCAGCUCAACGACGCCAUUUUCCGUUGAAUGUUUAAUAUGUGAACGUACUGCCCUCGCGUGUCAUGAAUUCUCCUUUAAAACACGCGGUUACGUUUAAUACGUACGAGGUUCGACAUCGGCUACCCGAUCCGCGACAAAAAGGGGGACACCUUUUAAAUGAAGAAACGUACCCUGGCAAAGUGGUUUUCUUUCACGAUUAGCGCCAGUGUCGCGGCACUUCCGUUGUGUCUCCGCCUCGCGCCGCAUCCUAUCGCCUUUUACUUCUUCCCCUCUUUAAUAUUCAGCCACCGUUCUCGUAACCAACGUUAUGCCGCGCCACCGCCAGCCGACCGCACAUACCUGUGUGCCGAUGCGCGUCUCACUGUUAGAGGCACAUGUUGUACGUAUACGAGCUUGCAUUCUCCACGAGACAAUGGGUGUGCCUACCUCACGUGACGGGCACGUGAGCACCCUCGAAAAAGGCCCUUGGUUCCUCGCGUUCAUUCAUACCGGUUCGCCUGUUUCGUGGCCGACGCCUAUGACCCUACACGCCGCGUCGAAAAGUCAAGAAGAAUCGUGUACGGACAAUUGCAGAAUAUAAAUGAUACGUCGUUGUAACAAUGCCCUAUGCGAGACAGCGUCAACCGGUCGCUAACAAGAGCAUACUUCAACGGGACAGUAGCGUAGGAGCAAAUCUAAUGAACUUGUAAAUGAAAUAAGGCACGAUGACUGAAGUGUAUUUGAAUACAGAGAGAGAAGAAACCGGAGAAGCAAGUGAUGCCUGUAUAUCUCUCACCAUCGCAUCGGAGGGGCUGCCAUCAAUCCCUAUUUCCUACUCCCUUUUACGUGUUACAAUCGAAAUCGAAGCGUGGUCAGUGUUUCCAGCGAAUGUUUCGAAUGCAUUUUCUACACUUUCUUAGCUAACUAGCCGUUUUUCUUCGAGAAAGUUGUGCAAACUCAUCUACGAAGAUGGUAAUCUUUGGAGGAGAGAUUUAACGAGAGAACGAUGGAUCCUCGCCUCGGAGCUCGGAUUGUCACCAGUGAAAGACACAGAAGCAUUUCAACGAGAACAGUAG